GGGUUGUGAGGUUAAGCGACUAAGCGUACACGGUGGAUGCCCUGGCAGUCAGAGGCGAUGAAGGACGUGCUAAUCUGCGAUAAGCGCCGGUAAGGUGAUAUGAACCGUUAUAACCGGCGAUUUCCGAAUGGGGAAACCCAGUGUGAUUCGUCACACUAUCAUUAACUGAAUCCAUAGGUUAAUGAGGCGAACCGGGGGAACUGAAACAUCUAAGUACCCCGAGGAAAAGAAAUCAACCGAGAUUCCCCCAGUAGCGGCGAGCGAACGGGGAGGAGCCCAGAGCCUGAAUCAGCAUGUGUGUUAGUGGAAGCGUCUGGAAAGGCGCGCGAUACAGGGUGACAGCCCCGUACACAAAAGCGCAUGUGCUGUGAGCUCGAUGAGUAGGGCGGGACACGUGGUAUCCUGUCUGAAUAUGGGGGGACCAUCCUCCAAGGCUAAAUACUCCUGACUGACCGAUAGUGAACCAGUACCGUGAGGGAAAGGCGAAAAGAACCCCGGCGAGGGG
This 505-nucleotide ribosomal RNA is filed under the name Salmonella enterica subsp. enterica serovar Typhimurium. RNAcentral describes it as "partial 23S ribosomal RNA". It matches the Rfam family "Bacterial large subunit ribosomal RNA", at positions 1 to 536 of the family's 2925-position model. Lineage: Bacteria; Pseudomonadati; Pseudomonadota; Gammaproteobacteria; Enterobacterales; Enterobacteriaceae. The record is from RNAcentral.